GGAGUCAAGGAUGCCCGGGAGAAGCUUUUGCAGAAAGAUGCCCGAUUUCGAAUCAAAGGGAAAGUGCAGGAUGCCAGAGAGAUGUUGAACUCUCGCAAGCAGCAGACCACGGUGCCCCAGAAGCCCCGCCAGGUUGCUGAUGCCCGGGAGAAGAUCAGCUUGAAGAGGAGUUCCCCUGCUGCCUUCAUAAACCCACCCAUUGGGACAGUGACCCCUGCUCUGAAGCUCACCAAAACCAUCCAGGUUCCACAGCAGAAAGCCAUGGCACCACUUCAUCCCCAUCCUGCCGGAAUGAGAAUCAAUGUUGUCAAUAACCACCAGGCCAAACAGAAUUUAUAUGACCUGGAUGAAGAUGAUGAUGGUAUAGCUUCCGUUCCUACUAAACAGAUGAAGUUUGCAGCUUCAGGCGGCUUUCUCCACCACAUGGGACCAGGCCUUUCCAGUUAUUAGACUGCUCAAGUCUGCUAUCAAGGGAACUAUCAGCUUGCUCAGCUGGGCUAAGCAGUUCCAAGCUUUCCAUGUCCAAGGCCCUCCCUCUCACCAAAGUGGUUCAGAAUGAUGCAUACACAGCUCCUGCUCUCCCUUCCUCUAUUCGAACAAAAGCCUUGACCAACAUGUCCAGGACACUGGUGAACAAGGAAGAACCCCCCAAAGAGCUGCCAACUGCUGAGCCUGUUCUCAGCCCAUUGGAAGGCACCAAGAUGACUGUGAAUAAUCUGCACCCUCGAGUCACUGAGGAGGACAUUGUUGAGCUUUUCUGUGUGUGUGGGGCCCUCAAGCGAGCUCGACUGGUCCAUCCUGGGGUAGCGGAGGUGGUGUUUGUGAAAAAGGACGAUGCCAUCACCGCAUAUAAGAAGUACAACAACCGGUGUCUGGACGGGCAGCCGAUGAAGUGCAACCUUCACAUGAAUGGGAAUGUUAUCACCUCAGACCAGCCCAUCCUGCUGCGGCUGAGUGACAGCCCAUCAGUGAAAAAGGAGAGCGAGCUGCCUCGCAGGGUGAACUCUGCCUCCUCCUCCAACCCCCCU
This 1028-nucleotide small RNA is filed under the name Pan troglodytes (chimpanzee). Its description in RNAcentral is "processed transcript". Lineage: Eukaryota; Metazoa; Chordata; Mammalia; Primates; Hominidae. The record is from RNAcentral.